This is a long non-coding RNA of Oryzias melastigma (Indian medaka), 886 nucleotides long. RefSeq lists it as uncharacterized. The record is from RefSeq and is a predicted model, not a curated record. Lineage: Eukaryota; Metazoa; Chordata; Actinopteri; Beloniformes; Adrianichthyidae. The transcript is spliced from 4 exons.
CCAGAUCAGGUGGUCAGCCUCUGACAUUUUGCUCACAGCGCCCUGGAACAGUUAUGCAACCAGGUUGUGAUAUAAUGCCCAGUGGAGCAGCUCCAGCUGCGCCUCUAGGCCGGAGCUCCCACCGGGCCAAAGAAGUCCCUCAAUUCUGAACGAUUUCAGUUCAAUUAGAAGGGAAGCGCGUCCCGGCUCCGGGUGGGACAGGAAGUGUCGGAGCGGCCUGAUAUCCGGCUGCAGCUGUGAGAACAUCUGUGGUUAUUCUUAACGCCCUGCAGGGGGGGCCGCACCUGUCUGGACCCGGCACGCCAGCGCACAGCAGACAGGAGUUCUUCAACAGGAUUUCCGCAGAAGGCCUGAAAGUGUGAAUUUGUUGGCAGCUUGUUGGAGCACCGGUACUUCACGUCACGUGUACGGAUCAUGGUCAGGAGAGGCUAUAAUUACUCUGGCCAGAGGGCUCCAGCUCCCCCUGUCAAACCACAGCCCCCACCCCACCGGAAGAUUCAAUUUCAAGAUUGAAGAGUCUUGGAUGAAGUCCUCCAUGUGCUGCUCACUGAGUGGACGGAGCUGCAGGUGGUGCUCAGAGUGAAGGAGGCUCGGCUCCUCCUCGGCGUUCUCAUGGUCGAGGCCAAAGAGCUCCUGGCUGUCAGAGUGAAGUUCACGCCGUAAAGCCGGGACAUUCCUUUGGUUUCAUGCGGUCUGAGACACGUGCUCUGAACCCUGUCAGCUAAGCAAAGGCUUUGAACAAAAAAACUUUAAAACUUCUUCACAUGUACACCUCUUUUUCUCUUUUUGCAUACGUUUUUUUAACUACAAAAUACAUAAAUAAUGUGUUUUCCAAAGAGCAUUGGUGUCAGGUUUCUUUUCAAAGUAAAACUAAAAGAUUUCUUGA